Molecule: ribosomal RNA, 490 nt
Filed under: uncultured bacterium
Lineage: Bacteria
Description: partial 16S ribosomal RNA
Rfam family: Bacterial small subunit ribosomal RNA
Source: RNAcentral
AUUGAACGCUGGCGGCAGGCCUAACACAUGCAAGUCGAACGGUAACAGGAAGAAGCUUGCUUCUUUGCUGACGAGUGGCGGACGGGUGAGUAAUGUCUGGGAAACUGCCUGAUGGAGGGGGAUAACUACUGGAAACGGUAGCUAAUACCGCAUAACGUCGCAAGACCAAAGAGGGGGACCUUCGGGCCUCUUGCCAUCGGAUGUGCCCAGAUGGGAUUAACUAGUAGGUGGGGUAACGGCUCACCUAGGCGACGAUCCCUAGCUGGUCUGAGAGGAUGACCAGCCACACUGGAACUGAGACACGGUCCAGACUCCUACGGGAGGCAGCAGUGGGGAAUAUUGCACAAUGGGCGCAAGCCUGAUGCAGCCAUGCCGCGUGUACGAAGAAGGCCUUCGGGUUGUAAAGUACUUUCAGCGGGGAGGAAGGGAGUAAAGUUAAUACCUUUGCUCAUUGACGUUACCCGCAGAAGAAGCACCGGCUAACUCCGUG